GGGGGGGGGCGGCUAAUAAUGCAAGUCGAGCGAACUUUUGGGAGCUUGCUCCCAAAGUUAGCGGCGGACGGGUGAGUAGCACGUGGGCAACCUGCCUAUAAGACUGGGAUAACUUCGGGAAACCGGAGCUAAUACCGGAUAACAUAUGAGACCACAUGGUCUCAUAUUAAAAGAUGGCUUUUAGCUAUCACUUAUAGAUGGGCCCGCGGCGCAUUAGCUAGUUGGUGAGGUAAUGGCUCACCAAGGCGACGAUGCGUAGCCGACCUGAGAGGGUGAUCGGCCACACUGGGACUGACACACGGCCCAGACUCCUACGGGAGGCAGCAGUAGGGAAUCUUCCGCAAUGGACGAAAGUCUGACGGAGCAACGCCGCGUGAGCGAAGAAGGUCUUCGGAUCGUAAAGCUCUGUUGUUAGGGAAGAACAAGUACCGUUCAAAUAGGGCGGUACCUUGACGGUACCUAACCAGAAAGCCACGGCUAACUACGUGCCAGCAGCCGCGGUAAUACGUAGGUGGCAAGCGUUAUCCGGAAUUAUUGGGCGUAAAGCGCGCGCAGGCGGUCCUUUAAGUCUGAUGUGAAAGCCCACGGCUCAACCGUGGAGGGUCAUUGGAAACUGGGGGACUUGAGUGCAGAAGAGGAGAGCGGAAUUCCACGUGUAGCGGUGAAAUGCGUAAAGAUGUGGAGGAACACCAGUGGCGAAGGCGGCUCUCUGGUCUGUAACUGACGCUGAGGCGCGAAAGCGUGGGGAGCGAACAGGAUUAGAUACCCUGGUAGUCCACGCCGUAAACGAUGAGUGCUAAGUGUUAGAGGGUUUCCGCCCUUUAGUGCUGCAGCAAACGCAUUAAGCACUCCGCCUGGGGAGUACGGUCGCAAGACUGAAACUCAGAGGAAUUGACGGGGGCCCGCACAAGCGGUGGAGCAUGUGGUUUAAUUCGAAGCAACGCGGAGAACCUUACCAGGGUCUUGACUUCCCGAGACAACUCUAGACAUAGGGCUUUCCCCUUCGGGGGACUCGGUGACAGGUGCUGCAUGGUUGUCGUCAACUCUGGUCUUGAAAUGUUGGGGUAAAGUCCCCGCAACUACCGCAUCCCUUGAUCUUAAUUGCCAGCCAUUUAGUUGGGGCCCUCUAAGGGGGACUGCCGGUGAAAAAACCGGAAAGAAAGGGGGGGGAAUGACCUCCAAAUCUUCCAGGCCCCUUUAAGAACCUGGGCCUAAAACCGGGGCUAAAAUGGGAGGGGUUCCCAAGGGGCCACCAAAACCCCGGAGGUUAAAACCCAAUCCCCAAAAAACCCUUUUUCCGGUUUCGGAAUUGGGGGGGUUCCAAUUCCCCCCCGGUUAGAAACCCGGAAAUCCCUUUAA
Molecule: ribosomal RNA, 1359 nt
Filed under: Bacillus sp. (in: firmicutes)
Lineage: Bacteria; Bacillati; Bacillota; Bacilli; Caryophanales; Bacillaceae
Description: bacterial SSU rRNA
Rfam family: Bacterial small subunit ribosomal RNA
Source: RNAcentral